AACGAACGCUGGCGGCGUGGAUAAGACAUGCAAGUCGAACGGGAUUAUUUUUGUAGCAAUACAGAAAUAAUUCAGUGGCGAACGGGUGCGUAACACGUGGGCAAUCUGCCGAAAAGUGGGGGAUAGCUCGCCGAAAGGCGAAUUAAUACCGCAUGUGGUGAGGGACGACAUCUUCCUGAAUCCAAAGCCGGGGCAACCUGGCGUCUUUUUGAGGAGCCCGCGGCCUAUCAGCUAGUUGGUGAGGUAACGGCCCACCAAGGCUAUGACGGUAGCUGGUCUGAGAGGACGACCAGUCACACUGGAACUGAGACACGGUCCAGACACCUACGGGUGGCAGCAGUCGAGAAUUUUUCUCAAUGGGGGAAACCCUGAAGGAGCGACGCCGCGUGGAGGAUGAAGGCUUUCGGGUUGUAAAC
Molecule: ribosomal RNA, 416 nt
Filed under: uncultured bacterium
Lineage: Bacteria
Description: bacterial SSU rRNA
Rfam family: Bacterial small subunit ribosomal RNA
Source: RNAcentral